RNA transcript from Myotis brandtii (Brandt's bat), 7416 nucleotides. It is a transcript of the gene named ubiquitin specific peptidase 42, with no coding region annotated. The transcript is spliced from 17 exons. NCBI's taxonomy places the organism in Eukaryota, Metazoa, Chordata, Mammalia, Chiroptera, Vespertilionidae. The record is from RefSeq and is a predicted model, not a curated record.
UGAUUAGCCAAUGUCGGAAUGGGGUGUUUGUAGGGAAAAGUCUGCAACUGGAGGCUUCCCUGCCAGGUGAAGGAAUUUUAGACUUUUUUUGUGGCUCUGAGCCCUGAGCCUCCUCUGUCCUGCGCUUCCGAACGAUGAACGAUGGUCCCGCGGUCGGAAGGUUGAAGGGGAGGGAGAGACUAGUCUAGUCACCAGAAGGAAGCGCGGAGAGAACGUGGGGACGGGCGCGCAGGAAGGUCGCCUGCGGGGGGGAGGAGGUCGGAUCGCAGCCCCUGGGCAGGUGUGACUGGGCGGUAAGGGGUGAGGCCUGUGAGAGGGCGGGAGAGGGACCCAGGUUAGGGAGGUGAGUGCCACGUCCCGAACUCAGCAGGGACCCACAGGGAGGAGCACGGUGGUGGCGGAGGAGAUGCGAGGAUGCAUCACCGCGUCCUCCGCGGGGCUCGCGCUGGAGACCUCCGAUCAGUAGGAGGGACCUGGCGCUCGGGAGUCGCGCUGGUUUCGUUGCCCCCAAAGCCCGCGGAACGCUCGGACCCGAGACGAGGAACCCGUGCCGGUAAGGGCCCGGCCUUGCUGCGGACUCAGAGCUGAACAAUGACCAUAGUUGACAAAGCUUCUGAAUCUUCGGGCCCUUCGACCUAUCAGAACCAGCCUGGCAGCUCCGAGGCCGUCUCACCUGGAGACAUGGAUGCAGGGUCUGCCGGCUGGGGUGCUGUGUCUUCCUUAAAUGAGGUUUCAAAUCACACGCUUUCUUUAGGACCAGUGCCUGGUGCUGUAGUGUAUUCAAGUUCAUCUGUACCUGAUAAGUCAAAACCAUCACCACAGAAGGAUCAAGCCCUAGGUGAUGGCAUUGCUCCUCCGCAAAAAGUUCUUUUCCCAUCUGAGAAGAUUUGUCUUAAGUGGCAACAAACUCAUAGAGUUGGAGCUGGGCUCCAGAAUUUGGGCAAUACCUGCUUUGCCAAUGCAGCAUUGCAGUGCUUAACAUACACGCCACCUCUUGCCAAUUACAUGCUAUCGCACGAACACUCCAAGACAUGUCAUGCAGAAGGAUUUUGUAUGAUGUGUACAAUGCAAGCACAUAUCACCCAGGCACUCAGUAAUCCUGGGGAUGUUAUUAAACCAAUGUUUGUCAUUAAUGAGAUGCGGCGUAUAGCUAGGCACUUCCGUUUUGGAAACCAAGAAGAUGCCCAUGAAUUCCUUCAAUACACUGUUGAUGCUAUGCAAAAGGCGUGCUUGAAUGGCAGCAAUAAAUUAGACAGACACACCCAGGCUACCACGCUCGUUUGUCAGAUAUUUGGAGGAUACCUGAGAUCUAGAGUCAAAUGUUUAAAUUGCAAAGGCGUUUCAGAUACUUUUGACCCGUAUCUCGAUAUAACACUGGAGAUCAAGGCUGCUCAGAGUGUGAACAAGGCGCUGGAGCAGUUUGUGAAGCCCGAGCAGCUGGACGGCGAGAACUCGUACAAGUGCAGCAAAUGUAAAAAGAUGGUUCCAGCUUCAAAGAGAUUCACCAUACACAGAUCCUCCAAUGUUCUCACACUUUCUCUGAAACGCUUUGCCAAUUUUACUGGCGGGAAAAUUGCUAAGGAUGUAAAAUAUCCGGAAUAUCUUGAUAUUCGACCAUACAUGUCUCAACCAAACGGAGAACCGAUUAUUUAUGUCUUAUAUGCAGUACUGGUACACACUGGUUUUAACUGCCACGCCGGCCAUUACUUCUGCUACAUAAAGGCUAGCAAUGGUCUCUGGUAUCAGAUGAAUGACUCCAUCGUAUCUACCAGUGAUAUCAGAUCGGUACUCAGUCAACAAGCGUAUGUUCUCUUUUAUAUCAGGUCCCAUGAUGUGAAAAAUGGAGGUGAACUUACUCAUUCCGCCCACAGCCCCGGCCAGUCCUCUCCCCGACCUGUAAUCAGUCAGCGUGUCGUCAAUAACAAACAGGCCACGUCAGGGUUCAUCGGACCACAGCUUCCUUCUCACAUGAUAAAGAACCCACCCCACUUGAAUGGGACCGGACCCUUGAAAGAAACGCCCAGCAGCUCCGUGUCGAGUCCUAAUGGAAAUUCCAAUGUCAGCAGGGCUGGUGCUGUUAACGCUUCAACUUCUGUUCAAAACUGGUCAGUUAACAGGGCCUCAGUUAUCCCGGAACAUCCCAAGAAACAAAAAAUCACCAUCAGUAUUCACAACAAGUUACCUGUUCGCCAAGGUCAGUCUCAGCCUAACCUUCACAACAAUGGUUUGGAGAACCCUACCAAGCCUGUUCCCUCUUCUACCAUUACCACUUCUUCUGCAAUACAGUCUACCUCGAGUGCACCCACCACGUCAGUUCCCAGUAAAGUCACAAAGCCGACGGCCCCGAGUGAGUCCUGCUCCAAGCCAGUGAUGAACGGCAAGUCCAAGCUGAACUCCAGCGUCCUGGUCCCCUACGGUGCCGAGUCUUCGGAAGAGUCUGACGAGGAGGCCAAGGGCCUCGGCAGGGAGAACGGGCUGGGCACGGUCGAGAGCUCGAACUCUUCUGCUCUGGAUGCUGAAGCUGACGAGGCCUCUCAGCACGAGCUUCGAGAACCUGUGACUCUAAAUGGUGCUAAUGUCAGUACAGACAGUGACCCGGAAGAGAACGGUCUGUCCUUCGAUGGUGCCAGCUGCCAAGUCCAGCCUGACCUACACUCAGAAAACCCCUUUUCUAAGGCAAAUGGUCUCCCUGGAAAGUUGAUGCCCGCUCCUUUGCCACCUCUCCCGGAAGACAAAAUCUUAGAGACUUUCAAGCUCGGCAACAAAGGGAAAGGCUCGACGGAUGAGACAAGUGCACCUGGAACAGACGGGAGCCAGACAGAGCAUCCUGAGGCAGGACUGGAGCCCGGCAGCCCCACUCCUGACUCCCGGGAGGAACUGGAGACGGCCACGGGUCUUAGCAGCAAACUGAAGAAGGCUUCGCCGCUCCCGGACCCCGGCAUCCAGUCUACAUCUACCAAAGAACAAGUCCCUGAGAGCAUUUCAGCAAAACCCGAGGAGUCCGUGCCCAGUGUCAACCACCUUUGUAACGCCAACAAGAACACCGCUGGGGACGACUCCCUCUCUAAACUGUGCGACCCUGGGAAUGGAACAGGGGAGGAGAGCAGAGCGUCCCAGGAUACAACGGGGACGUUAGCAGAGAGUCCCCGGGACUCGGCAGCAGGGGACGCCACGGGGAGGCUGAGCCCGAGCCCCGCGGCAUGUCCCGAGGGUGACGGCGAGCAGGAGCCCUCCGUCCACGGCAGCCGAGACCAGUGUACGGAUGCGGAAGACGUUUCUAAAGUCUCAGACGUUUCUAAAAUCUCGGAGGCGCCUACAGACGAGCCGCCCUCUUCUCAGUUGGACAAAGUCACGGAAAACCAUUCAGAAGGGGUUGGGGCUCCCGAGCAAAGCCCCGGGGAGCCACGUGAAGAAAACAAGGCUGGGCAGAAAGGCCAGGCCCGGUCUCCGGUGAAGGAGAAGAUCAGCAGCCUCCGCAAGGUUGACCGAGGACACUAUCGCACCCGGAGGGACCGCUCGUCCAGCGGGGAACACGCGCGGGACAGCAGGAGCCAGACCGAGGACCGUUACCGCCGGCGGCGGCACUCCUACACGCGCGAGCGCACCCUGCAGGGGCGCCGGCCCGAGCACUGCAGCGGGGGCCCGCACCACGCCUGCGAGCACCGCGGCCUGGCCCGGCACCGCCACCACCACUCCCGGAGCAGAGGCGGGUCCGACCACGACUGGAGCAGGUACCACCACUCGGAAAGCGAGCACUCCUGGGGCCGGGAGAAGUACUACCUGGACAGAACGAGGUGGGACAAAUGCAGGUAUUACCACGACAGGUACGCCCCGUACACGGCCAGGGAGGCGUGGGAGUGGAGGCCUUUGCACGGGGACCGAGACUAUGACCGAGACUAUGACCGUGUGGGUCAGUACGGCGGCCGGCCCUACAAGGACUAUAAAAGCAGGAAGGGCUACGAGCUGGGUGCCAAAGAGAGGGAACGGCACCACUUGAGCGGCCCCCGGGCGGGCCCCCCCCACGCCCUGCCGCCCCACCCUGAGAAGUCCGCCGAGAAGAUUGCACUUGCACCUGAAGGCAGCAGCUGUCACCUCGCUGAUCGCUUUCAUGACCACGAAAAUGUGAAGUCACACAAACGGAGGUACGAUAGUAUAGAACAUGGCGACACCCACGUAGAAAAGAAAGCCUGGAGAAGCGUACAGAGGGACCCUUUAGAAGAACCUAAAGUGAAGAAGCACAAAAAGUCAAAGAAGAAAAAGAAAUCCAAAGACAAACACCGAGAGCGAGACUCCAGGCAUCAGCAGGACUCGGAUCUCUCGGCAGCAUGCUCGGAUGCUGACCUCCACAGACACAGGAAGAAGAAGAAGAAAAAGAAGAGACACUCAAGGAAAUCGGAGGACUGUGGGCGAGACUCAGGACUGCACUUAGCUAAGGCCGCCAGCUCUGAGGCUCUUGACCGCUUCCGGAGAGCCGACGGCAGCCCCCCCCUCACCGACGGCCUGCCUCUGGAAGGCGCUGGACCUUUCCGAGAGAAAACAAAACGUUUAAGGAUGGACAGCAGGGAUGACAGGUGUCAUCUGUCUGAGUGUGGCCAGGGUAAGAGGAGAUACUUGGACUUAAGAAUGUAGGAGCUGGUCUUUUUAGAAAAGGGGAUUGACACCUGGGAGGAAGGCCCAAUGGCACGGGGGGGGGGGCGGGGGGGGGGAGGACACGCUUCAGCAGGAGCCCCUCCCACCCGCUUUCUCCACCCCCCACCUUGAGGGCGGCAUGGAGCAUGGCCCCCUUAGCAUUUUGGGGAGCCCCGGUUACAUGGACCAGGCCUCACAGAACCUGAUACACACCUGGAAUUUAGGGCUCCAGGUACCAUUUUCCUCGGGAAGGGCCAGAACUUUCCUUUUCAGGCCAUUUUUAUAUUCUUCUCUCCGGAAUCCUUAGACCUCGGGCGUUCUGAGCAUAGCCUAGGAGUCAGUGUGAUGACUUGGGUCAUUAGGGACGUCAGCUGUCGCACCUGUCGUGCGGGGCUCUGGCUCCUGGGGAGUGGAUCACUCUGGGUGUCCGGUCUUGUCUGCUCUGCACAGCUCUGCCCCUGUAAUGGUGUGGUCCUUUCUGUCGCUAAUUGCACUUAAAGCUGCCCCCUCCUCGCCCCUUCUAAUCUGUGCCAGUGACCUUUGCCCCUGGCGAGCAGCAUGGAGCCUGCGAGAAAGCGUGAUGUAGGCAGCGCCCCAGAGCGGCCGCGAACCGCAGCCCGGGGCAGGACCAGCCAGUUAGAAUGGCUUCAACAUCUCAAGUGGUUGGAAAAGUCCAAAGAAGAUUCCAUUUCCCAUGAAAAGUAUAUGAAAUUGCAAUGUCGGUGUGUAGAGUGCAGUGGAGCACAGCCCAGCUUUUACGGCUUUUUGUGGAGAGUUUGCUGACCGCCCUGGACCCCGAGGUGUCCUCCUGUGACUGUCACCCUGGUUGCCCAGAGGCCUUUUGGUUCCUGACAGUGUCCUGGGCUCGGCCGAGGUGACCUGUGGGGGGCGGUCAGCCUGUGAUGGUUGGCUAGGAGGGCACCUGGGCCCCAGUGUUGGCGAGGAGAGAACAGUACCGCGAGGCAUGGCGUGUCCCAUCAGGAGGGUGAGUGUGGUGGGAGCUUGCAGCCCUCGGCAGCAAGAAAGUGGAGCUGAAGUGGUAUUUGCUGUUUUUAAGGGAUUAAUAUGUGUCCCUUCAGAUUGGUUUCCUGUGAACAUGUCAGUGUCGGGGGAAGUCCCUCUCCCUCGCGCAGGGAGGGGCUGUGUGCACGGGUCCCAGGCAGCGCACACGGUUGCCAGACUCCUCCGCAGGGGGUGGGGCCGCCCAGGGCCCUGGAGGGGGGGAGGCCGAGUGCCCACCUCGCUGGUGGCGUGUGCAGCUCUGCUCUGUCUCCAGGGGCUGCUGUCAGGCCGGUGGUCCUGUCCCCGCUCCAGCACUUCCACUCUGAGCAGCCCCGCACUGUCCCCGCCUGUCCCCUCAAGAAGGGCCAGUCACCUGGCCUUCAAGCAUCCCCGUCAACUGUUGGGACACGUGUCCUCUGUCCUGGUGCCUUGACCGCUGACCUGUCCUUCAGCCUCGCUGUCUCUGGUGUAAAGCCUGCCCCUCCUCAUGUGACAAGGCUGACGACCAUGUCCUCGGGCGUGCGUGGCUUUCCCGGCUUCUCCCCGCGGCGACUGUCUUCCCUAACCCCCGGAGAAAGGGCCCCCUCCGCACACCCCUGCGCACCCUGGGCCUGGUGUGGCCUUAUUUCCCGUGGAACUGUGAGCCUGCCGCGCGCUCGGCACAGGACCAGACACCAUGAGACCAUUAAACUGUCUCUUAACCUUUGCUUGCGUUCUAGGUGACUGAAAGCUUGGCCUCAAACAAAGAAUUCACUAGUUAUGAUUCAACAUGUCCAACAGAAGCCAUCCCCAACCCAGCUUCCAUUAUAAACAUAGAAAAUAACUUUGUUCAGAUCUGCGUGGUGCUUCUUUAGUAAAUACUGUACAGAUUUUACCAUGGAGAACUUCUUUUUUAGUUUUUACCUUUUCUUAAUUACCCUUAUUCCAAAUGGACGAACACUUUCUACAACUGCUGAGCAUUGUAAAAUACGUGUAUAUAAAUCACAUUAAAAGUGACGCCCUGGACUAGAACAUCUCAAUGCUGCUUAAUCACAGACUCAGGUUGAUCUCUCGUAUUCCAUGUAAUGCUCCUCCAAUCAGACCUCCGGUGCAAGGCCAGCCGGGACCCUGGGAUUGUUCACGUACAAACAGCUGACAGUGUGCAUAUUUAAUUUAAAGACUAUUUAAGCUCCACGAGCUCUCAGCUGACUCGAGAGCAGUGUUUUCUGUAAUGUCUGAUACUAGAAACGAACGUGCUUCAUGUUUCAGUUUAUUCAAGAUUGGAAGGUGUAUUUUAUAGACAAGUUCUGUUUUUGAACUUUGUGGAACUAUUCCAAUCAACUUACCAGUUAUGAUGAGUAUUUACAUUAUGAAUGUAUAAUCCAGACAUUAUUUGUAAAGCCUACAGUACGUUUUUUAUUACAUAACACUUUUUAUACAGUUUCUCUUGUCUUGACUAUGAUAUUGGAGUCUGAGUUAUCAGCUUGGUCCCUGAAAAGUUUCUAGUUACAGACAAAAUCAUACUGUGAUUUUAUUUUUAAUAUGGAUAUGCUAUCAAACUGUGAUACACUUAUAAUUCACUGGUCCUGCAUCAGGAGACGGAGUGGGGACAACUGUAUUUAAUACAGUUUGUAUCUGAAUAAUCUGUAUGGUUUAUACAGUUUGUGUUGUUCAGAGAUGUCUAAAGUUUGAUCUUUGUUUUUUUAAAGAUUAAAAAAGCACUUGCCCCACUGUAAAUAUACAGCAUGUAAAAUUUAUAUAGUAUAUAAAUGGCAGCAAAUUAAACAUUUUGUGUCUUCUUUUUUA